This 319-nucleotide ribosomal RNA is filed under the name uncultured bacterium. Its description in RNAcentral is "bacterial SSU rRNA". It matches the Rfam family "Bacterial small subunit ribosomal RNA", at positions 18 to 344 of the family's 1533-position model. The record is from RNAcentral.
CCUGGCUCAGGAUGAACGCUAGCGGCAUGCCUAAUACAUGCAAGUCGAGGGAUAAGCUUUCGAGCUAAAACCGGCGUACGGUUGCGUAACGCGUAUACAAUCUGCCUUUCACUGGCGGAUAGCCCGAAGAAAUUUGGAUUAAUACCCCAUAGGAUAAUGGUGUGGCAUCAUAUUAUUAUUAAAGCUACGGUGGUGAAAGAUGAGUAUGCGUUCUAUUAGCUAGUUGGAGAGGUAACGGCUCCCCAAGGCUACGAUAGAUAGGGGUUCUGAGAGGGAUGUCCCCCACACUGGUACUGAGAUACGGACCAGACUCCUACGG